AUUGAACGCUGGCGGCAUGCUUUACACAUGCAAGUCGAACGGUAACAGGCCGCAAGGUGCUGACGAGUGGCGAACGGGUGAGUAAUGCAUCGGAACGUGCCCAGUCGUGGGGGAUAACUACUCGAAAGAGUAGCUAAUACCGCAUACGAUCUAUGGAUGAAAGCGGGGGACCGUAAGGCCUCGCGCGAUUGGAGCGGCCGAUGUCAGAUUAGGUAGUUGGUGGGGUAAAGGCUCACCAAGCCAACGAUCUGUAGCUGGUCUGAGAGGACGACCAGCCACACUGGGACUGAGACACGGCCCAGACUCAUACGGGAGGCAGCAGUGGGGAAUUUUGGACAAUGGGCGCAAGCCUGAUCCAGCAAUGCCGCGUGCAGGAAGAAGGCCUUCGGGUUGUAAACUGCUUUUGUACGGAACGAAACGGCUCUGGUUAAUACCCGGGGCUAAUGACGGUACCGUAAGAAUAAGCACCGGCUAACUACGUG
Molecule: ribosomal RNA, 482 nt
Filed under: uncultured bacterium
Lineage: Bacteria
Description: partial 16S ribosomal RNA
Rfam family: Bacterial small subunit ribosomal RNA
Source: RNAcentral